RNAcentral lists this ribosomal RNA (495 nucleotides) under uncultured bacterium. RNAcentral describes it as "partial 16S ribosomal RNA". It matches the Rfam family "Bacterial small subunit ribosomal RNA", at positions 28 to 507 of the family's 1533-position model. The record is from RNAcentral.
GACGAACGCUGGCGGCGUGCCUAAUACAUGCAAGUAGAACGCUGAAGGAGGAGCUUGCUUCUCUGGAUGAGUUGCGAACGGGUGAGUAACGCGUAGGUAACCUGCCUGGUAGCGGGGGAUAACUAUUGGAAACGAUAGCUAAUACCGCAUAAGAGUAGAUGUUGCAUGACAUUUACUUAAAAGGUGCAAUUGCAUCACUACCAGAUGGACCUGCGUUGUAUUAGCUAGUUGGUGAGGUAACGGCUCACCAAGGCAACGAUACAUAGCCGACCUGAGAGGGUGAUCGGCCACACUGGGACUGAGACACGGCCCAGACUCCUACGGGAGGCAGCAGUAGGGAAUCGUCGGCAAUGGACGGAAGUCUGACCGAGCAACGCCGCGUGAGUGAAGAAGGUGUUCGGAUAGUAAAGCUCUGUUGUAAGAGAAGAACGAGUGUGAGAGUGGAAAGUGCACACUGUGACGGUAUCUUACCAGAAAGGGACGGCUAACUACGUG